This 348-nucleotide unclassified non-coding RNA is filed under the name soil metagenome. Its description in RNAcentral is "partial contains 5.8S ribosomal RNA, internal transcribed spacer 2, and large subunit ribosomal RNA". The stretch from base 1 to 120 matches the Rfam family "5.8S ribosomal RNA", at positions 35 to 154 of the family's 154-position model. The record is from RNAcentral.
GAUGAAGAACGUAGCGAAAUGCGAUAAGUAAUGUGAAUUGCAGAAUUCAGUGAAUCAUCGAAUCUUUGAACGCACAUUGCGCCCGCCAGUAUUCUGGCGGGCAUGCCUGUCUGAGCGUCAUUCCAACCCUCAUGCCCCUAGGGCGUGGUGUUGGGGAUCGGCCAAAGCCCGCGAGGGACGGCCGGCCCCUAAAUCUAGUGGCGGACCCGUCGUGGCCUCCUCUGCGAAGUAGUGAUAUUCCGCAUCGGAGAGCGAUGAGCCCCUGCCGUUAAACCCCCAACUUUCCAAGGUUGACCUCAGAUCAGGUAGGAAUACCCGCUGAACUUAAGCAUAUCAAUAAGCGGAGGA